This 349-nucleotide long non-coding RNA is filed under the name Brassica rapa (field mustard). RNAcentral's name for it is "long non-coding RNA (BRAP_LNC000559)". Lineage: Eukaryota; Viridiplantae; Streptophyta; Magnoliopsida; Brassicales; Brassicaceae. The record is from RNAcentral.
UUUAAUUUGGAUUGAUAAAAAAAUACUACGUCAUUUUAUUCUUUUUCUUUUUUUUUUGUCAACUGCUAUUCUUUUUCGAAAUACUUUAUAUUCUCUGAAAAUGCCCGUUAAUAAAGCAAGUUGAGGAACAAAAUCUUACUUGUUAGUUACUCAUUUCUUCGGUCGAGCAUUCUCCGGACGUCAUGGAUAAAAUUUAUUAUCCUGCAGAAGGAUAAAAUUUAUUAUCCUGCAGAAGGAUAAAACGUUUUACAUGAUGCAUAAAGAAAGAAAAGCAACAACUUCGGUCGAGCGUUCUCUAGACGUCGAGAAAUCCAUGGAUAAAAUUUAUUAUCCUGCAGAAGGAUAAAAC